This 1016-nucleotide ribosomal RNA is filed under the name uncultured bacterium. RNAcentral's name for it is "bacterial SSU rRNA". It matches the Rfam family "Bacterial small subunit ribosomal RNA", at positions 357 to 1376 of the family's 1533-position model. The record is from RNAcentral.
AGGAAUAUUGGUCAAUGGACGAGAGUCUGAACCAGCCAAGUAGCGUGAAGGAUGACUGCCCUAUGGGUUGUAAACUUCUUUUAUACGGGAAUAAAGUGAGGCACGUGUGCCUUUUUGUAUGUACCGUAUGAAUAAGGAUCGGCUAACUCCGUGCCAGCAGCCGCGGUAAUACGGAGGAUCCGAGCGUUAUCCGGAUUUAUUGGGUUUAAAGGGAGCGUAGGUGGAUUGUUAAGUCAGUUGUGAAAGUUUGCGGCUCAACCGUAAAAUUGCAGUUGAAACUGGCAGUCUUGAGUACAGUAGAGGUGGGCGGAAUUCGUGGUGUAGCGGUGAAAUGCUUAGAUAUCACGAAGAACUCCGAUUGCGAAGGCAGCUCACUAGACUGCAACUGACACUGAUGCUCGAAAGUGUGGGUAUCAAACAGGAUUAGAUACCCUGGUAGUCCACACAGUAAACGAUGAAUACUCGCUGUUUGCGAUAUACAGUAAGCGGCCAAGCGAAAGCAUUAAGUAUUCCACCUGGGGAGUACGCCGGCAACGGUGAAACUCAAAGGAAUUGACGGGGGCCCGCACAAGCGGAGGAACAUGUGGUUUAAUUCGAUGAUACGCGAGGAACCUUACCCGGGCUUAAAUUGCAUUUGAAUAUAUUGGAAACAGUAUAGCCGUAAGGCAAAUGUGAAGGUGCUGCAUGGUUGUCGUCAGCUCGUGCCGUGAGGUGUCGGCUUAAGUGCCAUAACGAGCGCAACCCUUAUCUUCAGUUACUAACAGGUUAUGCUGAGGACUCUGGAGAGACUGCCGUCGUAAGAUGUGAGGAAGGUGGGGAUGACGUCAAAUCAGCACGGCCCUUACGUCCGGGGCUACACACGUGUUACAAUGGGGGGUACAGAAGGCCGCUACCUGGUGACAGGAUGCUAAUCCCAAAAGCCUCUCUCAGUUCGGAUCGAAGUCUGCAACCCGACUUCGUGAAGCUGGAUUCGCUAGUAAUCGCGCAUCAGCCAUGGCGCGGUGAAUACGUUCCCG